This 482-nucleotide ribosomal RNA is filed under the name uncultured bacterium. RNAcentral's name for it is "partial 16S ribosomal RNA". It matches the Rfam family "Bacterial small subunit ribosomal RNA", at positions 30 to 507 of the family's 1533-position model. The record is from RNAcentral.
AUUGAACGCUGGCGGCAUGCUUUACACAUGCAAGUCGAACGGCAGCGCGGGGCAACCUGGCGGCGAGUGGCGAACGGGUGAGUAAUAUAUCGGAACGUACCCAGAAGUGGGGGAUAACGUAGCGAAAGUUACGCUAAUACCGCAUACGAUCUACGGAUGAAAGUAGGGGACCGCAAGGCCUUAUGCUUUUGGAGCGGCCGAUAUCUGAUUAGCUAGUUGGUGAGGUAAAGGCUCACCAAGGCGACGAUCAGUAGCUGGUCUGAGAGGACGACCAGCCACACUGGAACUGAGACACGGUCCAGACUCCUACGGGAGGCAGCAGUGGGGAAUUUUGGACAAUGGACGCAAGCCUGAUCCAGCAAUGCCGCGUGAGUGAAGAAGGCCUUCGGGUUGUAAAGCUCUUUUGUCAGGGAAGAAACGGUAGAGGCUAAUAUCCUUUGCUAAUGACGGUACCUGAAGAAUAAGCACCGGCUAACUACGUG